AGAGUUUGAUCCUGGCUCAGGAUGAACGCUGGCGGCGUGCCUAACACAUGCAAGUCGAACGAAGCGCCUGCGGCGGACCCCUCCGGGGGAAAGCCGCGGGGGACUGAGUGGCGGACGGGUGAGCAACGCGUGGGCAACCUGCCCCGUACCGGGGGACAACAGCCGGAAACGGCUGCUAAUACCGCAUAUUCCCGCGGGGCCGCAUGGCCCUGCGGGGAAAGCUCCGGCAGUACGGGAUGGGCCCGCGUCUGAUUAGCUUGUUGGCGGGGUAACCGCCCACCAAAGCUGCCAUCAGUAGCCGGCCUGAGAGGGCGGCCCGCCACCUUGGGACUGACACACGGCCCACACUCCUGCGGGAGGCAGCAGUGGGGGAUAUUGCACAAUGGGGGGAACCCUGAUGCAGCGACGCCGCGUGAACGAAGAAAUAUUUCGGUAUGUAAAGUUCUAUCAGCAGGGAAGAAAAUGACAGUACCUGACCAAGAAGCCCCGGCUAACUACGUGCCAGCAGCCGCGGUAAUACGUAGGGGGCGAGCGUUAUCCGGAUUCACUGGGCGUAAAGGGAGCGCAGGCGGCACGGCAAGUCCGGUGUGAAAGCCCGGGGCCCAACCCCGGGACUGCACUGGAAACUGCCGGGCUGGAGUGUCGGAGGGGCAGGCGGAAUUCCUAGUGUAGCGGUGAAAUGCGUAGAUAUUAGGAGGAACACCGGUGGCGAAGGCGGCCUGCUGGACGACGACUGACGCUGAGGCUCGAAAGCGUGGGGAGCAAACAAAAGUAGAUACCCUGGUAGUCCACGCCGUAAACGA
This 803-nucleotide ribosomal RNA is filed under the name uncultured bacterium. Its description in RNAcentral is "bacterial SSU rRNA". It matches the Rfam family "Bacterial small subunit ribosomal RNA", at positions 8 to 809 of the family's 1533-position model. The record is from RNAcentral.